This 517-nucleotide ribosomal RNA is filed under the name uncultured bacterium. RNAcentral's name for it is "bacterial SSU rRNA". It matches the Rfam family "Bacterial small subunit ribosomal RNA", at positions 777 to 1297 of the family's 1533-position model. The record is from RNAcentral.
AAUAGAUACCCGGGUAGUCCACGCCGUAAACGAUGGGUACUAGAUGUGGGAGGUGUCGACUCCUUCCGUAUCGCAGCUAACGCACUAAGUACCCCGCCUGGGGAGUACGGCCGCAAGGCUAAAACUCAAAGGAAUUGACGGGGCCCGCACAAGCAGCGGAGCAUGUGGUUUAAUUCGACGCAACGCGAAGAACCUUACCUGGGCUUGACAUGUAUCUGACCGCCAUAGAGAUAUGGCUUCCCUUCGGGGCAGAUUCACAGGUGGUGCAUGGCUGUCGUCAGCUCGUGUCGUGAGAUGUUGGGUUAAGUCCCGCAACGAGCGCAACCCCCGUCCUAUGUUGCCAGCAUUCAGUUGGGGACUCAUAGGAGACUGCCGGUGACAAACCGGAGGAAGUGGGGACGACGUCAAGUCAUCAUGCCCCUUAUGUCCAGGGCUACACACGUGCUACAUUGGCGCAUACAGAGGGUUGCAAUACCGCGAGGUGGAGCGAAUCCCAAAAAGUGCGUCUCGGUUCGGA